RNAcentral lists this ribosomal RNA (995 nucleotides) under Glutamicibacter uratoxydans. RNAcentral describes it as "bacterial SSU rRNA". It matches the Rfam family "Bacterial small subunit ribosomal RNA", at positions 15 to 1018 of the family's 1533-position model. The record is from RNAcentral. Lineage: Bacteria; Bacillati; Actinomycetota; Actinomycetes; Micrococcales; Micrococcaceae.
GAACCUGGCUCAGGAUGAACGCUGGCGGCGUGCUUAACACAUGCAAGUCGAACGAUGAAGCCGAAGCUUGCUUUGGUGGAUUAGUGGCGAACGGGUGAGUAACACGUGAGUAACCUGCCCCUGACUCUGGGAUAAGCCUGGGAAACUGGGUCUAAUACCGGAUAUGACCAUGGAACGCAUGUUCUGUGGUGGAAAGAUUUAUCGGUUGGGGAUGGACUCGCGGCCUAUCAGCUUGUUGGUGAGGUAAUGGCUCACCAAGGCGACGACGGGUAGCCGGCCUGAGAGGGUGACCGGCCACACUGGGACUGAGACACGGCCCAGACUCCUACGGGAGGCAGCAGUGGGGAAUAUUGCACAAUGGGCGAAAGCCUGAUGCAGCGACGCCGCGUGAGGGAUGACGGCCUUCGGGUUGUAAACCUCUUUCAGUAGGGAAGAAGCGAGAGUGACGGUACCUGCAGAAGAAGCGCCGGCUAACUACGUGCCAGCAGCCGCGGUAAUACGUAGGGCGCAAGCGUUAUCCGGAUUUAUUGGGCGUAAAGAGCUCGUAGGCGGUUUGUCGCGUCUGCCGUGAAAGUCCGAGGCUCAACCUCGGAUCUGCGGUGGGUACGGGCAGACUAGAGUGAUGUAGGGGAGACUGGAAUUCCUGGUGUAGCGGUGAAAUGCGCAGAUAUCAGGAGGAACACCGAUGGCGAAGGCAGGUCUCUGGGCAUUUACUGACGCUGAGGAGCGAAAGCAUGGGGAGCGAACAGGAUUAGAUACCCUGGUAGUCCAUGCCGUAAACGUUGGGCACUAGGUGUGGGGGACAUUCCACGUUUUCCGCGCCGUAGCUAACGCAUUAAGUGCCCCGCCUGGGGAGUACGGCCGCAAGGCUAAAACUCAAAGGAAUUGACGGGGCCCGCACAAGCGGCGGAGCAUGCGGAUUAAUUCGAUGCAACGCGAAGAACCUUACCAAGGCUUGACAUGGUCCAGACCGGGCUAGAAGAUAGUCCUUUCCU